This 383-nucleotide ribosomal RNA is filed under the name uncultured bacterium. RNAcentral describes it as "bacterial SSU rRNA". It matches the Rfam family "Bacterial small subunit ribosomal RNA", at positions 28 to 408 of the family's 1533-position model. The record is from RNAcentral.
GACGAACGCUGGCGGCGCGCCUAACACAUGCAAGUCGAACGAGCGAUGGAGAGCUUGCUUUCCAGAGCGAGUGGCGAACGGGUGAGUAACGCGUGAGGAACCUGCCUCAAAGAGGGGGACAACAGUUGGAAACGACUGCUAAUACCGCAUAAACGCACAGUGCCGCAUGGCACGGUGUGAAAAACUCCGGUGGUCUGGGAUGGACCCGNGUCCGAUUAGCUGGUUGGUGAGGUAACGGCCCACCAAGGCGACGAUCAGUAGCCGGCCUGAGAGGGUGAACGGCCACAUUGGGACUGAGACACGGCCCAAACUCCUACGGGAGGCAGCAGUGGGGAAUAUUGCACAAUGGGGGAAACCCUGAUGCAGCGACGCCGCGUGAGUGA